GUAGGUGGCAAGCGUUGUCCGGAAUUAUUGGGCGUAAAGCGCGCGCAGGCGGUUCUUUAAGUCUGAUGUGAAAGCCCACGGCUCAACCGUGGAGGGUCAUUGGAAACUGGAGAACUUGAGUACAGAAGAGGAAAGCGGAAUUCCACGUGUAGCGGUGAAAUGCGUAGAGAUGUGGAGGAGCACCAGUGGCGAAGGCGGCUUUCUGGUCUGUAACUGACGCUGAGGCGCGAAAGCGUGGGGAGCAAACAGGAUUAGAUACCCUGGUAGUCCACGCCGUAAACGAUGAGUGCUAAGUGUUAGGGGGUUUCCGCCCCCCUUAGUGCUGCAGCUAACGCAUUAAGCACUCCGCCUGGGAGUACGGCCGCAAGGCUG
Molecule: ribosomal RNA, 372 nt
Filed under: uncultured organism
Description: partial 16S ribosomal RNA
Rfam family: Bacterial small subunit ribosomal RNA
Source: RNAcentral